Molecule: ribosomal RNA, 465 nt
Filed under: uncultured bacterium
Lineage: Bacteria
Description: partial 16S ribosomal RNA
Rfam family: Bacterial small subunit ribosomal RNA
Source: RNAcentral
GACGAACGCUGGCGGCGUGCUUAACACAUGCAAGUCGAACGGAAAGGCCCUGCUUGCAGGGUACUCGAGUGGCGAACGGGUGAGUAACACGUGGGUGAUCUGCCCUGCACUUCGGGAUAAGCCUGGGAAACUGGGUCUAAUACCGGAUAGGAGCCAUUUUUAGGGUGAUGGUUGGAAAUUUUUUUCGGUGUAGGAUGAGCUCGCGGCCUAUCAGCUUGUUGGUGGGGUAAUGGCCUACCAAGGCGGCGACGGGUAGCCGGCCUGAGAGGGUGGACGGCCACAUUGGGACUGAGAUACGGCCCAGACUCCUACGGGAGGCAGCAGUGGGGAAUAUUGCACAAUGGGCGCAAGCCUGAUGCAGCGACGCCGCGUGGGGGAUGACGGCCUUCGGGUUGUAAACUCAUUUCGCUAGGGACGAAGCUUUUUGUGACGGUACCUAGAUAAGAAGCACCGGCUAACUACGUG